AUACGUAGGGGGCGAGCGUUGUCCGGAAUGAUUGGGCGUAAAGGGCGCGUAGGCGGCCAUGUAAGUCUGAAGUGAAAGUCCUGUUUUUAAGAUGGGAAUUGCUUUGGAUACUGUGUGGCUUGAGUGCAGGAGAGGUAAGUGGAAUUCCCAGUGUAGCGGUGAAAUGCGAAGAGAUUGGGAGGAACACCAGUGGCGAAGGCGACUUACUGGACUGUAACUGACGCUGAGGCGCGAAAGUGUGGGGAGCAAACAGGAUUAGAUACCCUGGUAGUCCACACUGUAAACGAUGAAUGCUAGGUGUAGGGGGUAUCGACCCCUUCUGUGCCGCAGUAAACACAAUAAGCAUUCCGCCUGGGGAGUACGGCCGCAAGGUUGAAACUCAAAUGAAUUGACGGGG
This 397-nucleotide ribosomal RNA is filed under the name uncultured bacterium. Its description in RNAcentral is "partial 16S ribosomal RNA". It matches the Rfam family "Bacterial small subunit ribosomal RNA", at positions 523 to 918 of the family's 1533-position model. The record is from RNAcentral.